Non-coding RNA from Schizothecium vesticola, 101 nucleotides. The record is from the annotation of a GenBank genome assembly. Lineage: Eukaryota; Fungi; Ascomycota; Sordariomycetes; Sordariales; Schizotheciaceae.
GCGUCAGUGGUUUAGUGGUAGAGUCCAUCGUUGCCAUUUGGUGCGCAAGCAUCAGGUGUCCAAUAUUCGGUGGGCCCCGCGUUCGAUUCGCGGCUGACGCA